Long non-coding RNA from Argentina anserina (silverweed cinquefoil), 1273 nucleotides. RefSeq lists it as uncharacterized. NCBI's taxonomy places the organism in Eukaryota, Viridiplantae, Streptophyta, Magnoliopsida, Rosales, Rosaceae. The record is from RefSeq and is a predicted model, not a curated record. The transcript has 2 exons.
AGAAAAGGGGUUCCUCAGAGGAACAAACGCAGCUACAGGAGUGGGUUUCUGAUUUCAUAUAUAUCUUUGCUGGGUUUAUGUUUCUAUUUAGAAUAAUGUUUCGGACAUGCGUCGUUAGAAUUUUGAUUCCCUUGUUUAUGUAUCUGAUACUUGUAUGUCUGGAUCUGCCAAGUUUUCUACUUUUAUCAUCUGAAAAUUGCAUACACCUUUCUGAUAUAGCACCAAGUUUGUUGUACUGCUUUUCCAACUUGGUCAGCCUCAGAACAAGUGAAACAUAUAUGCCUUCUGCCAUGGGAAUUGUAUGUUAAGAUUUUACUAGAAAGGAAAAGUGUGUUUUUUUUUUAUCUGUAAAAGUGGUAAAACUAAUGAUCUUCAUUUUAUGCUAAUCUUCUUGUGGUUAGGAAAUGUUGGAUAAGUAAUCAUCACAUUCAUUUCAUACAAUUUCCUUUGCUUUUGUAAGUUGGGCUCAUACUAGUUGGAAGCAUACUGUCAUAGUGUUUCCUCAGUAAAUCUAUGGUAGUGUUUGCAUUGGAAUCUCUGUUGCAAUGGAAUUUCAGAUCGGUGCACCAUUUAAACAAGUAAUGCAUGCCCAUUUCCUUUAUUAUUUGAAAAUUUCUUUCAAGUUUUUGAUAUAGAUAUUGAGAAGGAAGAUGAAACUAGCUUAUUUCUUAUGUGUUUGAAGUUUUGCACCGAGUUUGUUGUAUGCUCAUUUCCUUUAUUAUUUGAAAAUUGCUUUCAAGUUUUUAAUAUAGAUGAAACUAGCCUGUUUCUUAUGUGUUUGAAGUUCUGCACCUAGUUUGUUGCGUGCCCAUUUCCUUUUGUUUCUGAAACUUUAAAUUGGCAUCUUUUCAAGGGAAGCCGAUCAAGAUCCUUAAUUCAUCGUGUCGGAGGAGAAUCUAAGGUCAUUUUCUUUGUUAUCAGUUUUGGAGCUGCAAAAUCAUCUACUUUGUUUCCUUUCGGAAGUAAUUGGCAACAUGGAAGAGAUGUCUUUUGUGAAGUCAAGAAUUGUACACUGUAAAAUGAAGUAUAUCAUUCGUGUCUACUGUCUUGUACACUUUUACAAAAAGGAAGUAGAACUAAAAUGCAGUACAUACAUUCAUCUAGUACUUCAGCAGCUCCUCAAGUAUUCUGAUGAAAAAUAUACAUGCUACCUAGGGUAGUGCAAUCGUAGAAUACUUGAGCUGUUGUUUUCCUACUGAAGUUUCAUUGGUUUCUAGUGUCUGUUACAAAAAGGAAGUAGAUACGAGAAUGAAGUAGAUACAUUUCUUGGCUA